This 484-nucleotide ribosomal RNA is filed under the name uncultured bacterium. Its description in RNAcentral is "partial 16S ribosomal RNA". It matches the Rfam family "Bacterial small subunit ribosomal RNA", at positions 30 to 507 of the family's 1533-position model. The record is from RNAcentral.
AUUGAACGCUGGCGGCAGGCCUAACACAUGCAAGUCGAGCGGAUGAAGGGAGCUUGCUCCUGGAUUCAGCGGCGGACGGGUGAGUAAUGCCUAGGAAUCUGCCUGGUAGUGGGGGAUAACGUCCGGAAACGGGCGCUAAUACCGCAUACGUCCUGAGGGAGAAAGUGGGGGAUCUUCGGACCUCACGCUAUCAGAUGAGCUUAGGUCGGAUUAGCUAGUUGGUGGGGUAAAGGCCUACCAAGGCGACGAUCCGUAACUGGUCUGAGAGGAUGAUCAGUCACACUGGAACUGAGGCACGGUCCAGACUCCUACGGGAGGCAGCAGUGGGGAAUAUUGGACAAUGGGCGAAAGCCUGAUCCAGCCAUGCCGCGUGUGUGAAGAAGGUCUUCGGAUUGUAAAGCACUUUAAGUUGGGAGGAAGGGCAGUAAGUUAAUACCUUGCUGUUUUGACGUUACCAACAGAAUAAGCACCGGCUAACUUCGUG